This 253-nucleotide ribosomal RNA is filed under the name uncultured archaeon. RNAcentral describes it as "partial 16S ribosomal RNA". It matches the Rfam family "Archaeal small subunit ribosomal RNA", at positions 728 to 982 of the family's 1478-position model. The record is from RNAcentral.
AUUAGACUACCCGGUAGUCCCAGCCGUAAACUAUGCGCGUUAGGUGUAUCGGUGACCACGAGUUACCGAGGUGCCGAAGGGAACCGUGAAACGCACCACCUGGGAAGUACGGUCGCAAGGCUGAAACUUAAAGGAAUUGGCGGGGAGCACCACAACAGGUGGAGCCUGCGGUUUAAUUGGAUUCAACGCCGGACAUCUCACCGGAUAAGACAGCUGAAUGAUUGUCAAUCUGAAGGUUUUACAUGACUAGCUG